RNAcentral lists this transfer RNA (72 nucleotides) under Cordylochernes scorpioides. RNAcentral's name for it is "tRNA-Thr". It matches the Rfam family "tRNA". Rfam says of the family: Transfer RNA (tRNA) molecules are approximately 80 nucleotides in length. Their secondary structure includes four short double-helical elements and three loops (D, anti-codon, and T loops). Further hydrogen bonds mediate the characteristic L-shaped molecular structure. tRNAs have two regions of fundamental functional importance: the anti-codon, which is responsible for specific mRNA codon recognition, and the 3' end, to which the tRNAs corresponding amino acid is attached (by aminoacyl-tRNA synthetases). tRNAs cope with the degeneracy of the genetic code in two manners: having more than one tRNA (with a specific anti-codon) for a particular amino acid; and 'wobble' base-pairing, i.e. permitting non-standard base-pairing at the 3rd anti-codon position. The record is from RNAcentral. Lineage: Eukaryota; Metazoa; Arthropoda; Arachnida; Pseudoscorpiones; Chernetidae.
UCCAGGGUAGCCUAGUGGACAUGGCAUCUGCCCGGUAAGCGAACACAGUGGGUUCGAUUCCCAUCCCUGGAC